GGAAUGAAGAGAUUCAUGGUCAGCGUAUUCAGUAUUAAUGCAGGCUAUGAUGUGAUGAUAGAAUCCUUGUGGUCACUAGAUUAUACUUGCUUGUAUUAUUUUUGCUGGGUAGGUCGGCGUGCACUUCUCUUCUAGUAGAACGUCGCAACCCGUUGGAUGUUUAUUUAUGGCCUAAAUGGUAGCCUCUGAUAUUUUAAAAUAUCGAAGACCUUUGGUGUCCUGAUAAGCUGUCUGACGGUAAACAUAUAGUAUUGAGCCGCAAUUAUUUGCGUUAGACUUACCGCAAGUAAGAUUUU
Molecule: ribosomal RNA, 296 nt
Filed under: Diolcogaster sp. HD-308
Lineage: Eukaryota; Metazoa; Arthropoda; Insecta; Hymenoptera; Braconidae
Description: partial 28S ribosomal RNA
Source: RNAcentral